Non-coding RNA from Paramormyrops kingsleyae, 2659 nucleotides. NCBI's taxonomy places the organism in Eukaryota, Metazoa, Chordata, Actinopteri, Osteoglossiformes, Mormyridae. The record is from RefSeq and is a predicted model, not a curated record.
GUCAGCCGCUGCACAGGGCGUAGAAGACAUGGAUGGUGCGCUAAAGCAGGCGAAUACCAAGGGCAGCCUCUUAUAAUAAAGGUAACGGCCGCUGUGCGAACGCGAGAGACGCCGACCUGCCUUUGGACUCUGCUGUCACUGGGCAGCUUUGGGUGUUUUGCUGUCACUGAGUGUUUGAUAUUUGCCCUCACUUUCCGGGUUUUAAUGUUGUACUUAGAAAUAUUGCCAAGACAUCAGAAAACUGCAUUUUGUCGGCUGCCGUGAUUCACAAAACGAACAAGGGAGGAUCUAAAUGCAAUAUUAGCUAAAGAAAAAAGGAACGAUCUCUGAUUUUCAUGAUUCAGUCAGCAUGAGCUCUAAAAGCCAUUUGCAAAAUGGGAAAAAUUGAGCAUCAUAUGAAUAAUUCAACCAAUCCUCUUUUACUCACUCACUAAUCUCUCUCUCUCUCUCGGUCUCUCUCUGUUAACUCUUAAUAGUCUUUACCAAAAAUGGCCGGACAUGGCUCUAAGGUGAAUUUGCUCAUUAGGUGUGGCAGGCAGCUCGGACAGAGCCUCUUCCUCCUUGUACACUACAUCAGUGUGUUUGUGAGCUUGGUGGCACGCUCCAUCAGCCUCCUGAUGGUGUUUGCACGCUGGACAAUUGCGCUGUCGCACUACACGGCGGCCACCUUUGACACUCUCUAUAAGUACCUGCACUGGUGGAGCAGGAGGGGCGGAGUCAGCGUGGAUCUCCACCCGGGGAGCGAUGCCGAGUCCGACUGACUCCGCCGGCCGGUCUCUGGAAUCUGAGAGGCCUCCGGGGGAUGGUGCCUCUGCACUGAGCCCAAGCAGAGACUGGACUCCAGACGAACAAGGCGAGGAGGUGCAAGGCAGCAGAUCAUUGUCAUCCCUGGAGACCCAUAGAUGCGCCAACGUGUGACAACAUUGAUCGUCGUGGUGGUAGAAGAUGAUCACAGGCCAAGCAGAGACAAUUCAGUGUCUCUUGACGGACAACAGCCAAGCCAUCUUGUGUUCCGUUUGUCAUGGCAGCACAACUUGGAGUGAAGCUGUCCGUUUCUGCUUACAGUCAAUGGCACAGCGCCUCACGUGUGCCACACAGCAUCUCUGUUCUGCAAACUCAAGGAGAGCAGACGGGACUGAGCAUGGCUCUGAGUAUGGCUCUGAGUAUGGCUCUGAGCAGGCCUGACGGAACACCUGUCUGUCUCCGGCUGUGGACAUGGGGGGUGUGCCAGCAAGUUAAAGUUAGACAUUUUCGCUAUGAACCACAAGACGCAUAACAAAGAGAGCGGGGCAUGAAGUCCGCUUGUCUGUCUGCCUUUUAAAUACUCAGCGUGGUAUUUGGUUUUAAAAAUGGCUGAAAUAAUUAGGCUUGAUCGGUUUGCAUUAAUUGCAGGUAAUUUGUUCAUGAUUGUUCAUCACUGCACUCAUAAAAAUGCUACAAACAUACCCGAGUGACCCCCCCCCGGCCAAUUCUCUAGAUUUUCACACACUAUAUACUACAAUAACUUUUGGUAAAACUGUUAAUAAUAGACAUAUUCUAUGUGAAAACUGAGACAUACAAAAUUGAAUAAACAUGGAUAUCCAGAAGAUGUGGUGCAGUGCAGUGCAUGCCCCCGCCCCCCGGCAGGGAAGCCUCUUAGCACGGCAAAAUAACUGCUAGAAGCCAGAGAACAGAUACACACGGGAUUAGGAAAAGUCAUUUGCUGAAGACAUGUGCUUCCAGAAAUCCAUUUAUGACCUGGCUUACAAAUGAUAUGAUUUGUCAUUUUAGUCCAAAUGAAACUGCUUGCUGUAUGUGCCCCCCCUACCCCACUCUACCCACAAGGGUGCAAACUGCCCUCCCCCUCUUUAUUCUGGCUGACACUAAAUGGGAAAACAUGCAGAAGUAUUAAAUAAGCUCCCCACCUGUCACAGUGCCUCAGAUAACUGCGGGGCCUUUAUGUGUUUGCUGACAUCUGCUGUAAUAGCCCUAGUGAGACACUAGUGCACAGUGUGGCAGGCCUUGACGGUACAGAGAGCGCAUUAGUGAUGCAUUGAGCCCAGUAGAAUAAGGCCUUCACUGUGAAAAAUAUGGCAGCGCGAGCCUUUCACGCAAGAUCAUAAGCCUGAAGUCAGCACUGCAUUCCGAACGUGAUGCCAGUGCAAUCAUGGACUGCGGAAUGCAUCUGAAUUGGGGGAGGGUUGGAAUAUUCACAGAUAUAUAUAUUACUGUUGUAUGACUACAGAACAGUUCAAAGUUUUAUGAAUAAAAUUUUAUUGGUUUGCUUUAAAUAAUUUGCAAGCAAUUUUUUCUUGAUUGUUCAUCACUGCGUUCUUAAUGAUGCACAAUGCACAAUGGCAAUGAUAUAAUUCAGUCAAGUCAUUUUAUAUCUGUCCUGGCCAUCAAAGCGAUCAAUCUGUUGAUCAAAUAUUGCAGUGUGCCACUGAAACAUCUGGGAAUACUCUGUUUCUGUGAAGGACCAUUAUGCUUCACUAGUUUUUAGAGAGGAACCUUCCAGUGACCGAACCUCUGUGAGUGACGAGUUUAUCGCAAACGACGGGCGACACUCUACUGGGCUGGGAGGAGUCAGAAAGUGUCUCUCUAAGCCAUCUAAUUACCUCUAGUGGAUUAUUGUCAGCGAUUAGCCACAACUUGCUAUUAAAAAGUCCCUCACGCUGUA